RNAcentral lists this unclassified non-coding RNA (197 nucleotides) under plant metagenome. Its description in RNAcentral is "partial contains small subunit ribosomal RNA, internal transcribed spacer 1, and 5.8S ribosomal RNA". The record is from RNAcentral.
UCUCCGUUGGUGAACCAGAGGAGGGAUCAUUACCGAGUGCAAACUCAUAACCCUUUGUGAACCUAUAUCUGUUGCUUCGGCGGCUCGCUCUCGGGCGAGCCCGCCGGUAAUAUCAGUAUCUCUGUUUGAACCCGACGAUACUUCUGAGUGUUCUUAGCGAACAGUUAAAACUUUUAACAACGGAUCUCUUGGCUCUA